Molecule: long non-coding RNA, 1574 nt
Filed under: Sorghum bicolor (sorghum)
Lineage: Eukaryota; Viridiplantae; Streptophyta; Magnoliopsida; Poales; Poaceae
Description: long non-coding RNA (SBIC_LNC011224)
Source: RNAcentral
UCCUGUUUAUAAUUUUUGUUGUCUACUCAAUGACCUAUUAUGCCGUGGAGAGCGUGAGCCUUGUCUCAAAAUUUGACCUUCCAUCAAUGACUCAGAGGUAUGUUCUAUAAUGAACGACUGUUGGACUGAAACCCACUAACAGAUUUACCUGCAAAGUCAGCAGCGUUACUUGUUUAUUUAGAAUACAACAGUGUCAUACACGCCAGUAAACUAUCUAGGCUGUUCAUAGGAAAAUCUUAUGUAGAUGAUACAUGAUUAUAUAUCUACUGCAGUGUUAGAGUUACUGCUUAAGUUGUGGAAAACAUGCACACAUAGUAGUUCAUCGAUGUAAUGAUCCUCUGUAUGCAGUUAUUUAUAUUGCAAUACUUCUGUCUAAUCUGCCUUGUAAUGAUUCGUACACAAUCAAGUUCUUCUUGUCUGCAGUACUGUAGAUUUAGCCUCAUAGGCAAUCACUACACAACUUGUGUAGUUAUCUUAGGGUGUCUUUGGUAGGGAUUCUGGGUGCUCCAGCUUCUCUAACAUAAGCACUGUGCUGGUAUUGUACUUAAGAUCUAUUUUUCUCUCUCCUCCUCUCUUCUCUCACUGACACAAAUGGAGCUGCUGGAGCUAAAAACUUUAGCUUCUGCUCCUACUUGAUCUGUGAGAAAGAGAGGGAAGUGAGAGAAUUUUAGCUCCAGUGAAUAGUGGAUAACAGUAUUUAUGCAGGUGCCAGGUGGGAGCCGGAGCCACCCGAAUCCCUCCCAAACGGGCCCUUACUCAUACCACUGUUGAAAAUUAAACAACGGAUUUUAGUCAGUAUCAUGAAUUAGUUUGAUGAUCUGAGCAACAAAGUUCUAAAGUACUAAAAAAUUUUCCUUGCACAGUGAAUUGAUACUGGAUGUCAUUGGCGCCCGUUUUGGGGCGGUUGGGUUGUUCUGCAUGCUCUUCCUCUUCCUGCCAGUCGCAAGAGGCUCAGUUCUCCUCCGGCUUAUCGAUAUUCCAUUUGAGCAUGCUACAAGAUACCACGUCUGGUUGGGUCAUCUCACUAUGGCUCUCUUUACAUUGCAUGGCUUGUUCUUUGUGAUCUCAUGGUCCAUGGAAGGGCGCCUCCGUGAAGAAGUAAGUGCUAAGUGUUUUAGAACCAUAAAGGGUUAAUGAUUUGCGACAAUUAAAGAAAACACUAUCUACUAAAUCACACAAUGGGAAAUUUUGAAGGGUAAAAGCUGAAUUAGAACUAUUCUCGAUCAACGAUGGCUUAAUUUUUGGUUGACGGCAUAUAGUAUUUUGUUGCUACACGUGUCAUGCAUCUCAGAACACUAGUAACAAGCCAUAUUGGCUUUUGUUUUUCUAUAGAUGAGAGAAUGGAAUGAAACUGGAGUAGCAAACCUGCCUGGUGUGAUCAGCUUGGCAGCCGGCCUACUUAUGUGGGUGACAUCACUUCACCCAGUGAGGAAGAGGUUCUUUGAGCUCUUCUUCUACACCCACCAGCUCUACGUCAUCUUCAUCGUGUUCUUGGCGUUCCAUGUCGGCAACUUCCUCUUCAGUAUUUCGGCCGGGGUUGUGUUCCUCUUCAUGCUCGACCGCUUUUUAAGGUU